AACGAACGCUGGCGGCAGGCCUAACACAUGCAAGUCGAAGGAGAAGCUUCUUUCGGGAAGUGGACACUGGCGCACGGGUGAGUAACGCGUGGGAAUCUACCCCGGGGUGGGGAAUAACUGCUGGAAACGGCAGCUAAUACCGCAUACGCCGUAUUGGGAAAGCUUUAGCGCCCUGGGAUGAGCCCGCGUUAGAUUAGCUAGUUGGUGGGGUAACGGCCUACCAAGGCGACGAUCUAUAGCUGGUCUGAGAGGAUGAUCAGCCACACUGGGACUGAGACACGGCCCAGACUCCUACGGGAGGCAGCAGUGGGGAAUAUUGGACAAUGGGGGCAACCCUGAUCCAGCCAUGCCGCGUGCGUGAAGAAGGCCUUAGGGUUGUAAAGCGCUUUCACUGGUGAAGAUGAUGACGGUAGCCAGAGAAGAAGCCCCGGCUAACUCCGUGCCAGCAGCCGCGGUAAUACGGAGGGGGCAAGCGUUGUUCGGAAUUACUGGGCGUAAAGGGCGCGUAGGCGGAACAUUAAGUUAGGGGUGAAAGGCCUGGGCUCAACCUGGGAACGGCCUCUAAGACUGAUGAUC
Molecule: ribosomal RNA, 576 nt
Filed under: uncultured bacterium
Lineage: Bacteria
Description: bacterial SSU rRNA
Rfam family: Bacterial small subunit ribosomal RNA
Source: RNAcentral